This 1105-nucleotide long non-coding RNA is filed under the name Ictidomys tridecemlineatus (thirteen-lined ground squirrel). RNAcentral's name for it is "lncRNA (ENSSTOG00000030686.1)". Lineage: Eukaryota; Metazoa; Chordata; Mammalia; Rodentia; Sciuridae. The record is from RNAcentral.
GGGGGGCCCAAGGUGAUCACAAAGGUCCUUCCAAGUACAAGAGGAGGAAGCAGAGAAAGAGGAGAAAGAUGAGGAGAGAAGCCGGGAUAGAGAGGUGGGAUGGUGGAAGCACACACAGAGGGCUGGAGAUGCUGGUUGGAAGAUGGAGAAAGGAGACAUGAGCCAAGGAAAGUGGGCAGGCUCUAGAAACUGGAGAAACAAGGAAAUUGAUUUUUCCCAAGAGCUUCCAGAAACAACACAGCCCUGAGUGAUUUUAGCCCACUGAGACCCAUGUUAGAUGGUUCACCUACAGAGCUGUAAGAAAAUAAAUCUGUGUUGUCUUAAGCCAUGAUUUUGUGGCAUUUUAUUAGAGCAGCAAUAGGAAAUUAAUACAGUAGGAACCAGUUGUUACUGUGAUGCCCUCUCUGAAGGAUUUUAAUAAGACGGCAUCUAGGAAUUCAUCAACAUCUCUGGAGUCUCACACAAUUCAUUCAUUGCUGGGGAAACACUCUAGCUGAGGAAGGUUGACCCAGAACCUCUGAGGUGUCCCCAAGAUCAGGCAGUGCAGUGGCCAUGAACAGCCAGUGGGAGUAUGUCCCAUGUAGGGCAUACUCAUUAGAAGAAGAAUUCAAAGACUCCCAACAUCACAAGGGAUUGAGAGUAGAAUCCUGCUAUGCAUCAGAGACGUAUCCACACCAGAACCUCACUGCCAACCUACAGAACCCUGGUCCUAGCUUCAGCCAGGAAUGGGGCCGGGAGACACCUGAAGUGAUGGGAAGGGUGCACUGUGGUUCUUCCAGCUCCUGGCCAGGGAAACAGCACAAUACCAAUUUGCAGGAGAGAGGUGAAUGCAUGAUUCCCUGGAUCUGCACACAGGGCUGUGGCCUCUGCAGCAGCAUGACCUGUACAGAACCCAAGGAGACACCUGAAGAAAGACAGUGACUGACCCAAGGUCAAAGGCAGCCCAGCCACAGAGCAGAUGUCUUGAUUGCAGACUUUAAAAAGGUAAGUGGAGAGGACAAUAUAAUGAGCCCUACAUAUAUUACCCAGCCCCCACGUUAUCAAAUCCUGGCUAAGGCCGUUUUACCCACAUGCCCUCUUCUCUACUGCUUCCCAGAUUAUUUUG